CCUACGGGUGGCAGCAGUGAGGAAUAUUGCUCAAUGGACGAGAGUCUGAUCCAGCCAAGUAGCGUGAAGGAUGACUGCCCUAUGAGUUGUAACCUUCUUUUAUAUGGGAAUAAAACAAGGUAUGCAUACCCUCUUGUAUGUACCAUAUGAAUGAGGAUCGGCUAACUCCGUGCCAGCAGCCGCGGUAAUACGGAGGAUCCGAGCGUUAUCCGGAUUUCUUGGGGGUAAAGGGAGCGUAGGUGGAUUGUUAAGUCAGUUGUGAAAGUUUGCGGCUUAACCGGAAAAUUGCAGUUGAAACUGGCAGUCUUGAGUAAAGUAGAGGUGGGCGGAAUUCGGGGUGUAGCGGUGAAAUGCUUAGAUAUCACGAAGAACUCCGAUUGCGAAGGCAGCCCACUGGACUGCAACUGACACUGAGGCUCGAAAGUGUGGGUAUCAAACAGGAUUAGAUACCCGAGUAGUC
This 460-nucleotide ribosomal RNA is filed under the name uncultured bacterium. RNAcentral describes it as "partial 16S ribosomal RNA". It matches the Rfam family "Bacterial small subunit ribosomal RNA", at positions 338 to 795 of the family's 1533-position model. The record is from RNAcentral.